GGGGAUUUAGCUCAGUGGUGUAAGCGCCUGCCUUGCAAGCAGGCAGUUGUGAGUUAGAUCCCCA
RNAcentral lists this transfer RNA (64 nucleotides) under Cavia porcellus (domestic guinea pig). It matches the Rfam family "tRNA", at positions 1 to 62 of the family's 71-position model. From Rfam's summary of the family: Transfer RNA (tRNA) molecules are approximately 80 nucleotides in length. Their secondary structure includes four short double-helical elements and three loops (D, anti-codon, and T loops). Further hydrogen bonds mediate the characteristic L-shaped molecular structure. tRNAs have two regions of fundamental functional importance: the anti-codon, which is responsible for specific mRNA codon recognition, and the 3' end, to which the tRNAs corresponding amino acid is attached (by aminoacyl-tRNA synthetases). tRNAs cope with the degeneracy of the genetic code in two manners: having more than one tRNA (with a specific anti-codon) for a particular amino acid; and 'wobble' base-pairing, i.e. permitting non-standard base-pairing at the 3rd anti-codon position. The record is from Rfam by way of RNAcentral. Lineage: Eukaryota; Metazoa; Chordata; Mammalia; Rodentia; Caviidae.